UCCAACAUUAUAUACAAAUGUAAACACAUAUAUAAAAAUGAUGAUGUUACAUUGUAUCGGCAAAUUAUAUUUGUUUAGGCCUGGAACCCCCAUGGACUUUGCAAGUGUAUUUUAGCUCACUUCACAUACAAAAGAUUCUCAUGCUUAGCUAUGUGGCUCUUAUGACCGAGAAGCAAGAUCUCUCCACUCAUUGUGCUUCAGCUUUGCAAGUUAUCACCUAUUAGGAGCAGAGAGAGAAUCCAAGUUUGCAAAGUACUCUCUCUUUUCCAUCUGGCUUUUAAUACUGGAAUGAAAAUUCUAAGAGGCUUUGAUCAUCUGGAAAAUAUCUUGAAAUAUUCUUAAAAUGGCAACCCGUUUUCCUGGAAGAAUAAAGCAUUUCCUCUUGAUGGGCAAAACUCUUCUUUGGGUUCUCCUAUGCAAUGACGAAGGGAGCAGAAAGCAGAAAGAGAAGUAAGGAAGCUCGAGUCCAACAGCAUUUGUUAAUAAGUUGUUUUUAGAUUCAUAUUUUUAGAAUAUGACAAUAUUAUAUUGCAAGGUUACAUAAGGUAACAAGAAGGUGAUACUCUGUUUUCCUCCAUGAUGUUUCUGGAUUCUGCACUGAAAGCUCCCAUAUAUUAUUAGUUUUUUUUUCCCCCAACAAAUUCCUCUAGUUGUAUUGGCUAUUGAUCCAGUGGCGAUGCUUUUGUUUAGUAUUUGCUCUCUUUUUCCAUGUAGCUGUUAAUACUUUAA
Ziziphus jujuba (common jujube) is the source of this 729-nucleotide long non-coding RNA. RefSeq lists it as uncharacterized. The record is from RefSeq and is a predicted model, not a curated record. The transcript has 3 exons. NCBI's taxonomy places the organism in Eukaryota, Viridiplantae, Streptophyta, Magnoliopsida, Rosales, Rhamnaceae.